This 3783-nucleotide long non-coding RNA is filed under the name Sus scrofa (pig). Its description in RNAcentral is "lncRNA (ENSSSCG00050070025.1)". Lineage: Eukaryota; Metazoa; Chordata; Mammalia; Artiodactyla; Suidae. The record is from RNAcentral.
CCUUCAUGGCCAUGCUUUUUGAAGGACUUGGAUUGAUCAGCUGUCAACAAGGAAGGGUCAUGGGGACAAGUCACAAGUGGCAUCGUGAUGUGAUGUCUCUAUGGGGAAUUGAACUUAGAGCUGCAGCCUUUCUCUGGAACAUGCAUUUUACCUUCCGUGCGUAGAUUCUGUGCACUGGAUUUGAAGUCCUUAACAGUAUUUCUCCAGAAAUGACCCCAGUCUUGCAGAAGCUGACCUUGAGAAUCUGUAGAGGUGACUUGGACUUGAGUUAUCAAGGUGGUAGAGUGUGGCGGUGAAGCAUGUGGGUCAACUCCUACCUCUACUACUAACUAGGAUGGCUAACCUGGCAAGGUCCGUACUGUUUUGUACCUCCAUGUUCUCAUCUUCUUAUUGGGGAUGAUGAUGGUAAAACAUGCUUUACAGGUUUAUUGGGAAGAUUAAACAAGUUAAUAGCAGAGUGUGAAGAACACUGCCUGACAUGUGGUGUACACCAACCUGGGCUAGUUAGUGAUGCCAUCGAAGUGGCUGUGACAGUUCCAAACAGCAAUAGAACCACGUACUGGAGUUCCAGUGUCACACACUUGCCUUUUAAAAGCUGCCUAAUGUUUUCCCCGGUCAUCUUCAGAGACACUCAGAGUCAGGUCCAUGUAUACACAUUCCUUCCUUUGUGCUAUAUCAGAAAGAAAGGAGUUGGGUAUGGUUCCAAAUGAGGGGGAGAAAGCAAAGGAGAUAAAGUUUUCUGUGUAGACAAGUCAGCUCUUCUAAAUGGUCUGUCUGAUCCUAAGAAGAGCAGCUGUUCCAUCUCCACAGGACCAGCCCUUGAUCCCUCCCACCAAAGUUGAUGCGGGGGAAUCCUGGUCAUGCUUUUUGACUUUGCUUGUAGGUUCUGCUCAGCCUCACUCUCACCUGCCCCGAUGUCUCUUCACACUCCUCCUGACGGUUUCUGGAUGGCCUUUCCAAUGCUUUUUUGGGUGAAUGGUUUAAUCUAAGUAUAACAUACGUGGAGAACAAUGCAUGCAUCAUGCUGAAUUAUUACAGUCAGCACAUGAAACCCAGAUAAAGACUUUGAGCAAUACCAGCACCCAAUAUACUUCCUUUGUGUCUCCUCCGAAGCAUCACCUCCUCCAAAGGUAGCCACCAGUCUCCUUUCCCUCACAACAGACUAUUUUUUUGCCAAUUUUAUUACACUUUGGAUAAAUGGAACCACACAGUAUUUAGUCUUUUUGUUUGUUUGGGCAGUGCCUGUGGCAUGUAGAAGUUCCUGGACCAGGGAUUGAACUUGUGAUAAUGCCAGAUCCUUGAUCUGCUGAGCCACCAGGGAACUCUCAGUUUGUAGUCUUUUGGGCUUAGCUUCUUUUUUUUUUCCCCUCUCUUGUUAGGUCUGCACCCACAGCAUAUGAAAGUUCCUGGGCUAGUGGUUGAAUUGAAGCUGCAGCUGCCAGCCUGUGCUGCAGCCACAGCAAUGACAGAUCUGAGCCAUAUCUGUGACCUCCACCACAGCCUACAGCAAUGCUGGAUCCUUAACCCACUGAACGAAGCCAGGGAUCGAACCUGCAUCCUCAUGGAUACUAUGUCAGUUUCUUAACCUUCUGAGCCACAGUGGGAACCCCUGAGCUAGGCUCCUUUUGCUUAGUAUUCCUUCUAUGAGAUUCCUCUGUGUUGUGGUUUUUUUCUUUUCCAUCACUGUAGAGCUCUAUUGUAAAAAUAUAUUCAUGAAUUUUAUUUAUUCAUCCAUUCUCCCUUUAUAGAUAUCUGAGUUGUUUUCAGUUUUGGACUAUUAUGAAUAAUGGUGCCAUGAACAUGUCUUUUGGCAAAUUAUGUUGUCAUACCUAUGCAGCUAGGUACAGAAUUGAUGGGUCAAAUAUAUACUGAUGCUCAACCUCAGUGAAUAUUGCCUAACAGUUGCCUAAAUGGUUGAACACUGCCAUUUUUUAACAGAGUUUUUUGAAUGUUAAUCUGAAUGAGUUCUUCAUAUAUUUUGAAUAUUAAUCCCUUAUCAACUAUAUCAUUUGCAGAUAUCUUCUCCCAUUUAGUAGGCAGCCUUGUCAUUUUGACGGUAGUCUCUGUCACUGUGCAAAAGAUUUUUAGUUUGAUGUAGUCCCAUUCGUUUAUUUUUGCUUUUGUUGCCUUGCCUGAGGAGACAUAUCCAAAAAAUUAUCGCUAAGAGUGAGGUCUAAGACUGUUCUGCCUAUGUUUUCUUCUAAAACUUUUAUGGUUUCAGGUCUUACAUUUAAGUCUUUAAUCCAUUUGGAGGUUAUUUUUGUAUAUAGUGUGAGAAAGGGGUCCAAUUUUACCCUUUUACAUGUAGCUGUCCAAUUUUCCCAACACCGUUUAAUUGAAGAGGCCAUCUUCCCCAUUGUCCACACCAAGACACACUGUAAUUAAAAUGGUGAUCAUUAAAGAUAAAGAGAAACAAGGGAAAAAAUGCUUACGUGGAGACUAAACAACAUGCUACUAAAAAAAGGGGGGGGCAAUGAUGAAUUCAAAGAGGAAAUAAAGAAUCAUUAAAGCAGCAAGGGAAAAGCAACUUAUUAUGUACAAGGAAACUCCCAUCAGACUGUUGGCUGACUGUUCAGUAGAAAUUUUGCAGACCAUAAGGGAAUGGCAGAAUAUGGGUGGGUAAACCCAUGGUCUUAAUAGGCUAGAGGAAGAACCCAAAGUGGCAUUUGCCAGCACCAGUGUCCUUGUAGAAUGAGCUCCCCAAAAUGGCUGCUGUAAGCAUCUAGGUCCCCGUGAGGAGUCCCCCUUGCCUCCCACCUUUCUAAGAGGUUCUCCAAGAUUAGCAAGUGGGUUUAACCCAGGUUUCUUUCAAAAUACUGCUUCUGUGCUGGGUCUUGGAGUAUAUGAAAUUUUGUAUGAGCUCUUUAAGAGCAGAGGCUCUGUUUCCUACAGCCCUCAGGCUCUCCCAUGUGGAAGCCCCACUGACCUUCAAAGUCAGACGAUCUGAAGGCUCACCUUCCUGGUGCAGACCUAGGGUCUGGAAAGCCUGAUGUGGGGCUCAGACCCCUUGCUCUUUGGGAAAAAACUCUGAAAUUAUGAUUAUCCUCUCAUUUGCAGGUCACCUAUCCAAGGGUAUACCACUAAGGGUGUUAUACUGCAUCUCCACCCCUCCUACUUAUCUCGCUGUGGUUCCUUCUUUAUAUCUUUAAUUAUGGAAAAUAUUUUCUUCUAGUCUUCAGGAUUUUCUCAUCAAUAGUUGUUCUGUAAAUUGUUGUAAUUUUGGAGUGCCCAUGCGAGGAGGUGAGCUCAGUUUCUUCUUACUCCACCAUCUUGGCUAUUCCCCUGAAAUGGAACUGAUUUUUGAACAUUGUGUAUCAUGUACCUUGCUGACUUGUUUAUUUGUUGCAAUAGAUUUUUUAGUUGUUGUAUAUAUAAUAUAUAUAUAUAUUAGGAAUCCUAAACAAUCUAUAUAUGAAUAUAUAUAUGAAUAAUUAUGUCACUUGCAAAUUGAAAUAAUUUUACUUCUUUCCGAUUAGAUAUCUUCUAUUUCUUUUCUUCAUGCUGCAAGCCUUUUAUUAACUUCCAGAAAUCUGAAAAAGUUGAUUUGGAGAAAUUUUGCCAGUUUUUUUUAUUGCUUCUUUGGAGGGGCAAAUUUUUGGAAGUAUUUACUCCAGUACUUUUGCUGAUAUCACUUUAGUCUUUUAAUUGGAACUUUUGUUUUAUUUCCAUUUUAUGUAAUUAUGUCACAUGUUAUAAUUUGUUUUUAAUUUGUAAUCUGUUUUAUGUUUCUUUUUCUCUCCUUUCUUGCUUGCUUUUGUAUUAAUAAAAUAAUUUUAUUGUCCA